UGACCUCGGAUCAGGUAGGAAUACCCGCUGAACUUAAGCAUAUA
Molecule: ribosomal RNA, 44 nt
Filed under: Fusarium oxysporum
Lineage: Eukaryota; Fungi; Ascomycota; Sordariomycetes; Hypocreales; Nectriaceae
Description: partial 28S ribosomal RNA
Source: RNAcentral